This 745-nucleotide ribosomal RNA is filed under the name anaerobic methanogenic archaeon E15-9. RNAcentral's name for it is "bacterial SSU rRNA". It matches the Rfam family "Archaeal small subunit ribosomal RNA", at positions 108 to 853 of the family's 1478-position model. The record is from RNAcentral.
ACUACCUUGAGNGCUGGGAUAAACCUGGGAAACUGGGUAUAAUACCGGAUAGGCCUCGACUGCUGGAAUGCAUCGAGGCUGAAAGCUCCGGCGCCUAAGGAUGGGUCUGCGGCCUAUCAGGGUAGUAGUGGGUGUAAUGUACCUACUAGCCUACGACGGGUACGGGUCGUGAGAGCGAGAGCCCGGAGAUGGAUUCUGAGACACGAAUCCAGGCCCUACGGGGUGCAGCAGGCGCGAAAACUUUACAAUGCUGGAAACAGCGAUAGGGGGACUUUGAGUGCCAGGAUACAAUUCUGGCUGUCGUCGUGCCUAAAAAGCACGGCAUAGCAAGGGCCGGGCAAGACCGGUGCCAGCCGCCGCGGUAACACCGGCGGCUCGAGUGGUAACCGCUAUUAUUGGGUCUAAAGGGUCUGUAGCCGGCUGAAAAAGUCUCUUGGGAAAUCUGGCUGCUCAACAGUCAGGCUUUCAGGAGAUACUCUUCGGCUCGAGACCGGGAGAGGUGAGAGGUACUUCAUGGGUAGGGGUGAAAUCUUGUAAUCCUUGAAGGACCACCAGUGGCGAAGGCGUCUCACCAGAACGGAUCUGACGGCAAGGGACGAAAGCUAGGGGCACGAACCGGAUUAGAUACCCGGGUAGUCCUAGCCGUAAACGAUACUCGCUAGGUGUCGGCCACGGUGCGACCGUGGUCGGUGCCGUAGGGAAGCCGUGAAGCGAGCCACCUGGGAAGUACGGCCGCAAGGCAGAA